GCCUUGUUAGCCCUGUGGCUAACUAACAUGCUGGGCUGGUCGGGCGUCUGGCGAGGGAGCUCUUCCUCUGAGCGGUCUGCUCAGCUCCCUUGCGCGCUGCAGAGUGAGGCUGGGAGCCGGAAUAUGACGUCUUAUUCCACCUCCCAGCCUAAAUCUGUGGCGCGUGAGGGAGCUGAGCAGAGUCAUAUUCCGGCUCCCAGCCUCAAUCUGUGCCGCGCGAGGGAGCUGAGCAGAGUGCUCAGAGGAAGUGCUCCCUCACCAG
Pelobates cultripes (western spadefoot toad) is the source of this 262-nucleotide non-coding RNA. The record is from the annotation of a GenBank genome assembly. NCBI's taxonomy places the organism in Eukaryota, Metazoa, Chordata, Amphibia, Anura, Pelobatidae.